AGUGAAUCAUCGAAUCUUUGAACGCACAUUGCGCCCGCCAGUAUUCUGGCGGGCAUGCCUGUUCGAGCGUCAUUUCAACCCUCAAGACCCCUGUGGACUUGGUGUUGGGGACCGGCGGCGCCUCUCUGGUGUCACCGCCCCCUAAAUGAAUUGGCGGCCUCGUCGCGGCCCUCCUCUGCGUAGUAGCACACACCUCGCAACAGGAGCCCGACGGCGGCCACUGCCGUAAAACGCCCAAACUUUUUUAGAGUUGACCUCGAAUCAGGUAGGAAUACCCGCUGAACUUAA
This 288-nucleotide unclassified non-coding RNA is filed under the name uncultured Clavicipitaceae. RNAcentral describes it as "sequence contains ITS1". The stretch from base 1 to 72 matches the Rfam family "5.8S ribosomal RNA", at positions 83 to 154 of the family's 154-position model. The record is from RNAcentral. Lineage: Eukaryota; Fungi; Ascomycota; Sordariomycetes; Hypocreales; Clavicipitaceae.